RNAcentral lists this ribosomal RNA (253 nucleotides) under uncultured bacterium. RNAcentral describes it as "partial 16S ribosomal RNA". It matches the Rfam family "Bacterial small subunit ribosomal RNA", at positions 524 to 776 of the family's 1533-position model. The record is from RNAcentral.
UACGAAGGGGGCUAGCGUUGCUCGGAAUGACUGGGCGUAAAGGGCGCGUAGGCGGAUGUUUUAGUCAGGCGUGAAAGUCCUGGGCUCAACCUGGGGACUGCGCUUGAUACGGGGCAUCUGGAGUUGGAAAGAGGGUCGUGGAAUUCCCAGUGUAGAGGUGAAAUUCGUAGAUAUUGGGAAGAACACCGGUGGCGAAGGCGGCGACCUGGUUCUUGACUGACGCUGAGGCGCGAAAGCGUGGGGAGCAAACAGG